Molecule: ribosomal RNA, 1554 nt
Filed under: Salmonella enterica
Lineage: Bacteria; Pseudomonadati; Pseudomonadota; Gammaproteobacteria; Enterobacterales; Enterobacteriaceae
Also listed under: 2 other names
Description: bacterial SSU rRNA
Rfam family: Bacterial small subunit ribosomal RNA
Source: RNAcentral
UUAAAUUGAAGAGUUUGAUCAUGGCUCAGAUUGAACGCUGGCGGCAGGCCUAACACAUGCAAGUCGAACGGUAACAGGAAGCAGCUUGCUGCUUCGCUGACGAGUGGCGGACGGGUGAGUAAUGUCUGGGAAACUGCCUGAUGGAGGGGGAUAACUACUGGAAACGGUGGCUAAUACCGCAUAACGUCGCAAGACCAAAGAGGGGGACCUUCGGGCCUCUUGCCAUCAGAUGUGCCCAGAUGGGAUUAGCUUGUUGGUGAGGUAACGGCUCACCAAGGCGACGAUCCCUAGCUGGUCUGAGAGGAUGACCAGCCACACUGGAACUGAGACACGGUCCAGACUCCUACGGGAGGCAGCAGUGGGGAAUAUUGCACAAUGGGCGCAAGCCUGAUGCAGCCAUGCCGCGUGUAUGAAGAAGGCCUUCGGGUUGUAAAGUACUUUCAGCGGGGAGGAAGGUGUUGUGGUUAAUAACCACAGCAAUUGACGUUACCCGCAGAAGAAGCACCGGCUAACUCCGUGCCAGCAGCCGCGGUAAUACGGAGGGUGCAAGCGUUAAUCGGAAUUACUGGGCGUAAAGCGCACGCAGGCGGUCUGUCAAGUCGGAUGUGAAAUCCCCGGGCUCAACCUGGGAACUGCAUUCGAAACUGGCAGGCUUGAGUCUUGUAGAGGGGGGUAGAAUUCCAGGUGUAGCGGUGAAAUGCGUAGAGAUCUGGAGGAAUACCGGUGGCGAAGGCGGCCCCCUGGACAAAGACUGACGCUCAGGUGCGAAAGCGUGGGGAGCAAACAGGAUUAGAUACCCUGGUAGUCCACGCCGUAAACGAUGUCUACUUGGAGGUUGUGCCCUUGAGGCGUGGCUUCCGGAGCUAACGCGUUAAGUAGACCGCCUGGGGAGUACGGCCGCAAGGUUAAAACUCAAAUGAAUUGACGGGGGCCCGCACAAGCGGUGGAGCAUGUGGUUUAAUUCGAUGCAACGCGAAGAACCUUACCUGGUCUUGACAUCCACAGAACUUUCCAGAGAUGGACUGGUGCCUUCGGGAACUGUGAGACAGGUGCUGCAUGGCUGUCGUCAGCUCGUGUUGUGAAAUGUUGGGUUAAGUCCCGCAACGAGCGCAACCCUUAUCCUUUGUUGCCAGCGGUUAGGCCGGGAACUCAAAGGAGACUGCCAGUGAUAAACUGGAGGAAGGUGGGGAUGACGUCAAGUCAUCAUGGCCCUUACGACCAGGGCUACACACGUGCUACAAUGGCGCAUACAAAGAGAAGCGACCUCGCGAGAGCAAGCGGACCUCAUAAAGUGCGUCGUAGUCCGGAUUGGAGUCUGCAACUCGACUCCAUGAAGUCGGAAUCGCUAGUAAUCGUGGAUCAGAAUGCCACGGUGAAUACGUUCCCGGGCCUUGUACACACCGCCCGUCACACCAUGGGAGUGGGUUGCAAAAGAAGUAGGUAGCUUAACCUUCGGGAGGGCGCUUACCACUUUGUGAUUCAUGACUGGGGUGAAGUCGUAACAAGGUAACCGUAGGGGAACCUGCGGUUGGAUCACCUCCUUACCUUAAAGAA